AACUUGCUUUGCCUCGAUCUUGCCUCUAAUCUAGGUCAAAGUCCUUUCGAAGCAUCAUCACAUCUUUUCUUACAUCUUAGUUCUCGGCCACUUGGUCGUCCACUUCUACACCAAGUCAAGACUUUGUCAGGAUGAGCUUUGACCUUUCACGGAGUCAAAACUAACUAUAAAGUUCACUUGAAGCUUCCUACCACUCAAUAGACCAAAUAAGUCUCACUACUUACCAGGUCAACACUAGCUUCUAAAAGCUCACUGGGUGCUCACCCAUACUUUAAGACGCCAUCCCAAAUCUUAAAAUGGAAUGAAGUUUCAUUAUGCAUUCGGGCACGUUUACGAGAAUUGUCUCUCAGGUCCUUCGUACUUACCAAAUCUUACCAGACAUCCAUCCAUUAUCAAAGCAUGAUGACACUUGCGACCAUGUCAUAUCAAUCGAGCAUAGCAUACAAAAAACCCAUCAUAUACCACAACCUCGACCCUUGGGAUAGGGUGCACUUUUGACACAACCAUGCCACCCAACACAGUCACUAAGUUGCUCGUUCUCAAAGGAAGUCACCCAAGGCACUUGUCGCAUAAGACUCGCCUAUGCCAUGACACACGCAUAUGCCGCGAGGUAGCUCACUUGGGCAUCCAAGCCUAGGGGUGGUGGAGAGACAACACACUCAUAAAUUAUAAGGCAUUUUUUAUCUAUCACCCAUGGACGUCAAAAUGGAAAAGGAUCACUUGUCAUUGUGGAGUGCCCAUUUUAACUCCAAUGAACAAAAAAUUUGACAGGCUUGCAUAUCCCAUUUAUACACAAUUAACUCCACAGCCACUCGUCCAACCUCACAAUAGAACCUUGACUUUUAGGGAACCCUUCUAGUCCCCUAUAAGCUUGUCUUUGACACUUUUAUUGCCACGGUUGUUUCUAACUCACUUAGAAAAGAAGCUAGCUUAUACAGACUUAUUUUUUCUUUUUUAUUCCAUUUUCAUUUUUUGUGAGCUUUUAUCCCCUAAAAGUU
This is a long non-coding RNA of Cucurbita moschata (crookneck pumpkin), 998 nucleotides long. RefSeq lists it as uncharacterized. NCBI's taxonomy places the organism in Eukaryota, Viridiplantae, Streptophyta, Magnoliopsida, Cucurbitales, Cucurbitaceae. The record is from RefSeq and is a predicted model, not a curated record. The transcript has 2 exons.